This is a non-coding RNA of Sus scrofa (pig), 1530 nucleotides long. Lineage: Eukaryota; Metazoa; Chordata; Mammalia; Artiodactyla; Suidae. The record is from RefSeq and is a predicted model, not a curated record.
CCGCGCCUAACGGUCAGCGUCGGCGGCGGAGUGGUUGUGUUCCGGGCGGUUGGCUCCCAGGAAGUGGCCUUGCGGAGCGCGGACCCCUCCGAAAUCCCCGUUACCUCCUUCGUCCCUGAGAACUUAUUUCGAGGAGUCACCAUCUGCUCAAGACUCCCCACAGACGAGUUAAAGCUAUUCCCCAUCUUGAGACCCUGUCUGGGGUUUCCCUCGCAGCAGUGGAGCCAUUUCCAAGUCCAACUGCGGGAAUAAUUGAUUUAUCGUUCCUGAAAAAAAGAAAGCGAUAGUCUGAAUAGAGUGGUCUGACGUCUAAAGCUAACCAAACAGAUCGGAAUCUAUUCACUGAUGCUCAGAAUGCUGCUUUAACGCUGGCCUGGGGAGCAGAAAUUACCAUUGUCCCAUUUUAGCUGUUUAUGGCAUUCAGCCUAAAAUUUUACAGUAUUUUGUUAAGUUUGAGCCAGAUGCUUAUGGCAUAUUAAGCAUUAAUAGUACGAGUUGUAUUUUCAGCAGUUUGGUGGAAAUCGUAACUACGAGACCAUAUUUCACAGGGCCCUAGAUCUAAUCAGUUUGAUCUGAGGGCGGUAGACCUGAUCAAUCCUCCUGGCCCAUUUGGGUUUAACUACCACCUGGUCCUGGACACAGUCAUCAGCUACAGACACCCUGUCCAAUCAGUAUUUAACGAACACUCCACAUCAUUGCUUGACCAUCAUUUGGCAAUCUUCGUGGUGAUCAAAUAUCAAAAAGUGAUCCAGUGCAAGCAACUCAAAACCAAAGGAACAAGGUGCUGAAUAGACUGUGUGGAAUCUUCAGCCACUUUUGUGAGGAAGUGCAUCCCUAUAGGAGUGUGUGUCAGUUGCCUUAAAGAGUACAGGUAAGUAUUGCUUUCUUUGGACCAGCAGGUUUAGAGAGUUGAUCUCUGCAAAUCAAGGAGCUCUAAUACCAAGGAGUAAAAAGCUUUAGGAAAGUAUCUCGACUUUAAAUUCUUGGUCAUGUUAUUUGAGGUAGAGGAUUCUCAACUUUUGUUGGUCAGCUUUAGGAAAAGAUGAGCGGUGAUUCUAGUAACUUAUUUUAUGCUACAUCUCAUUAUUUCAUUGGCAAGACCAAGUGAAUGGCUGAGAGCAAAUCAACACUAUGGCUUGUGUCUGAUCUGGUUAUGAGCUUAUCUGAAGAACAUGAAAAUAUUGUGACAUUAUGAAGUGACAUUUAAAUAAGUUUUGAUUUUUACAAAUGCUAAAUAUGCAUUGCUCAAGCUGGAUAGGGGAGUAAAAAAAACCCCGUUCCAUCAGUCUGUGAACAUUACCAAAUAAGUUUGCACAUUCAGAACAGAUUCUGGAGAUUAUUUGAGAGAGAUUUCUCGAGGCAAAUGUUUGUUUAACAAAUGUGACAUUUUUAUUUCCUUUAAUAACAACAAAAAAUCUGAACCAUUCAGUGAUGUAAGAUCUCAUCUUUAUCUUAAACUAAGCUACCAGAUGUUCCCGCUGUGGCUUAGUGGGUUAAGAACCCAACAUAGUGUCUGUGAGGAUGUGGGUU